This 254-nucleotide ribosomal RNA is filed under the name uncultured bacterium. Its description in RNAcentral is "partial 16S ribosomal RNA". It matches the Rfam family "Bacterial small subunit ribosomal RNA", at positions 1248 to 1500 of the family's 1533-position model. The record is from RNAcentral.
GGCGAAGCCGUGAGGCGGAGCGAAUCCCAAAAAUAAACGUCCCAGUUCGGAUUGUAGUCUGCAACCCGACUACAUGAAGCUGGAAUCGCUAGUAAUCGCGAAUCAGCAUGUCGCGGUGAAUACGUUCCCGGGUCUUGUACACACCGCCCGUCACACCAUGGGAGUUGGAAAUGCCCGAAGUCAGUGACCCAACCGAGAGGAGGGAGCUGCCGAAGGCAGGUUCGAUAACUGGGGUGAAGUCGUAACAAGGUAAC